This 72-nucleotide transfer RNA is filed under the name Dasypus novemcinctus (nine-banded armadillo). Its description in RNAcentral is "tRNA-Lys (CTT) (tRNA-Lys-CTT-19-1)". It matches the Rfam family "tRNA". Rfam says of the family: Transfer RNA (tRNA) molecules are approximately 80 nucleotides in length. Their secondary structure includes four short double-helical elements and three loops (D, anti-codon, and T loops). The record is from RNAcentral. Lineage: Eukaryota; Metazoa; Chordata; Mammalia; Cingulata; Dasypodidae.
GCCCGGCUAGCUCAGUCGGUAGAGCAUGAGACUCUUAAUCUCAGGUCGUGGGUUCGAGCCUCACGUUGGGCG